UACGGGGGGGGCAAGCGUUGUUCGGAAUUACUGGGCGUAAAGGGCUCGUAGGCGGCCAACUAAGUCAGACGUGAAAUCCCCAGGCUUAACCUGGGAACUGCGUCGGAUACUGGAUGGCUUGAAUCCGGGAGAGGGAUGCGGAAUUCCAGGUGUAGCGGUGAAAUGCGUAGAUAUCUGGAGGAACACCGGUGGCGAAGGCGGCAUCCUGGACCGGCAUUGACGCUGAGGAGCGAAAGCCAGGGGAGCAAACGGG
This 253-nucleotide ribosomal RNA is filed under the name uncultured bacterium. RNAcentral describes it as "partial 16S ribosomal RNA". It matches the Rfam family "Bacterial small subunit ribosomal RNA", at positions 524 to 776 of the family's 1533-position model. The record is from RNAcentral.